Molecule: unclassified non-coding RNA, 667 nt
Filed under: Hevea brasiliensis (rubber tree)
Lineage: Eukaryota; Viridiplantae; Streptophyta; Magnoliopsida; Malpighiales; Euphorbiaceae
Source: RNAcentral
GGGAAGAAGAAGAAGAUGUCUCACAGGAAAUUUGAGCACCCAAGGCACGGGUCCCUUGGAUUUCUUCCAAGGAAACGAGCAGCUCGUCACCGGGGAAAAGUGAAGGCUUUCCCAAAGGAUGAUGCAAGCAAGCCGUGUAGGUUGACUGCCUUUUUGGGUUACAAGGCUGGAAUGACGCACAUUGUCAGGGAGGUUGAGAAGCCAGGAUCUAAACUUCACAAGAAGGAGACAUGUGAGCCUGUUACGAUCAUUGAGACCCCACCUAUGGUUAUUGUUGGUGUUGUUGGAUAUGUGAAGACCCCACGUGGUCUCCGCACCUUGGGCACUGUAUGGGCUCAGCAUUUGAGCGAGGAAGUAAGGAGGAGGUUCUAUAAGAACUGGUGCAAGUCUAAGAAGAAGGCUUUCACUAAGUACUCUAAACAAUAUGAAACUGAUGAGGGAAAGAAGACCAUCCAGGAGAAACUUGAGAAGCUGAAGAAAUAUGCAUCUGUGAUCCGUGUCUUGGCUCACACUCAGAUUACCAAGAUGAAGGGAUUGAAGCAAAAGAAAGCACACCUGAUGGAGAUCCAAGUUAAUGGUGGUACGAUUGCUCAGAAGGUGGACUAUGCCUAUGGGUUCUUUGAGAAGCAAGUUCCAGUAGAAGCUGUUUUCCAAAAAGAUGAGAUGA